GUGUGUUAAUGAGCUAUCUCUUGAAUUUGUCCAUUGAUCGUGUCUCAGAAAUAUUUUCUCAUUGUUUCAUCACACUGAAACUUUGGCCAAGAAAUGUUUAAAAUUCAAAGCAUUGAUAUCAAUUUCCCCCCCCUUUUUUUUUAAAGGCAACUUACAAGAUUAAAAUUAAAUUUGGUUGAUGAUGGUUCUGGACAAAUACAGCUCUUUUAUUUGAGGUAUGCCAUUUUGAAGACAGACCCGUGGAAUUUUAUCCUUGAGGAUAGGGGAAAUCUUUGUGAAAGUCUGUAUUUUAUAAAGCAAAAAGAAUAUAUCACUAAAGGUUGUCAGUGCAACAUAAAUUGUAUACUCAUUAUCUUGAGAAAGGGAUGAGAAAAAGCCCAUCAAAUUCUUUACCUUACAUCAAAGCAGUUUUGUGUUAAAACAUUAAAACAGUUGAUACAUGUAAUUUGUAACAGAGCGAUGAGACAUUUGAUGUUUUUCAAUCAAAUGGUGCUUUAGGGUUAUGGUUAAAUCAAUAGUUGAGUCAUCAGAAUUAUGUAUCUUUACAAUCUGAAAUGUACAUUCUGUAGACAUUUUUUUGUGAUGCAGAUUACAAAUGACCUAGAAUUUUGUAGUUGCAGCUCUUAUGAUUCUAAGGAACUAUAUUUCAAAAGCUAAAUACACUUUCAUAUUCUAGUUAUUAUGUAGUGAAUUUAAAAUUCUGAUUUUUUUUCUGUUUUUAUGAGUUCGCUUUCAAAUAGGCACAAAAAUAAGUAAGUUAUCUGAUAGGAAACUAGAAUAAUACGGCUGAGGAGACCUUGAAAAAUGUAGCUUAGUCUUUUUAAAGCAUAAGAAGGAAGAAAUAAUUUCAACAUAUGUGUGAUGUUUUGACAUCUUAAAGCUAGACAUAUGAAUGAAAAAAUAUGUACAAUGAAAAUUUUCAGGAAUUAUUUCCUACUCUUAAGUUAACACUAAAUGUGGAAAUAAAUGCCAAGCCAAUAUUAGCAAGGGAUUUACCAGAGGAAAUAUGUAAUAUAAUGAGAUAUCUUGGGAAAUUUUAAGAAUAGCCAAAUAACCAACUAGUUAACAUGAGGGCAGGUUUACCUUUGUGCUUGUAAUUUUUGUGGAAUAUCUUUUAUCUGUUGUUGUUGACUUAUUCUGUUGAUACAAAUAGGUGAUAAAAAGUAUUAUUUUUUUUACCUUUGCUUUAGCUUAAUUUUUGCCUUUCAGUCCUUUUGCAAUUUGACCAAAUUUGUGUUUAUUAUAGUGUGCAAAAGGAAACCAAAUGUUAGACCUUUAUACUUUUAAAAGAUGUAGCAUAUAUAGAAAAGUCAGUAUCUUUCAUCCUAAGUUUCUUUAAUACAAAUGUCAAGUUUAGGGUUUUCUCUGUGUAAAUGAUUGGAUAUUGGAUUGGCAUUCAGAUGUGGUUAGGCAUUGCUAUAAAAAUUGAGAAUUGAGCCUCUUAAGACACAAAUAUAUUUGAAGUUUAAUGUAAAUUUAAGCAUAAAUUGACAGUAAAUUUAUAAUCGCCUACCAGAGGUAUAAUUUGACCCAUAAAAAAAGAAUAAAGAAGAUUAGAAACAUUAAAUGAAGAUUAUCCUUUUUAGUCUAGUAUUAGUAAUUAUAAAAAUAACAAAUGAUACGGUAAGUUCUACAUUAAUGUAAUAGAAUACAGCUUUCUUUUUAUUAUCAACAAGGCAAAAGUAAUAAAUUACAUUUUAAAAAGAUCUGCAUGGACUUCUGAGCCAAGCUUGUAAAAUUUGCAAUGUUUUUGAUGUAUAAAAAUAGUGGAUUCAUGAGAAUAAAAUGAAGAUACUACUUUAAAUUACUAUAUUUCAUAAAUAAUUUACUUUGCUACCAUUUUCUGCUUAAGAGCCAGAGUGAUAAAUGCUUAAAUAUUUGUUUUUAUUUUAGCAUUUUGAAUCUUGAACCAUAAAAAUCACCUGAUCAAGUUGGUGAUUGGGUUGCAUUGCAUUUGUUAGUUAUAGUAAUAACUGUUUAAAAAAUUACCCGAAGUUCCACAGAAAUGAAAGAAACCAUGCCUGUAGUUAAUACAAGGUUGUUAUGAACUAUACAUGUCACUAAGAGGCUAGAUUAUAUGAAAUUAAUCUUGGAAGGCCGUUAGGCUUACCAUUAUACCAUCAAUGUACACUGAAAUAGGUAAUUUUGAAUACAAAUUUUCUUUUAAGUUUAGUUUACUAUUACCCGAAGUUUCUUAUUUAAAAAUUUGGACUGUGGACAGCCAAUUAAUUUACCUUUUCUAUGAGAUUUAUACUUUUUUGAGAGGCUUAGGGGGAAAAAGAUAAUUUGAGGACCUCUCCAUCUCUUGCAUUGAUGAGAGGUGUGUGAUAGAGCAGAAAGUAUAACUCUGAUGCAGCAGUCAGGAGAGCUGGCUUCUAACCUAAAUUACCCUUGUGAUUUUGACGUUUUAUUCAUUGUGGCCCUUCUCUUAAUUUGUUUAAAGUAUUUGAAAUAUUCAAUUUCUUAUGAUACCUUUUUGGUCUCAAAUUGUGUGGUAAAAAUAAUAGAAUGUCUUGAUUCUCUUAAACUGCCUAAUUAUUUUUGUAGUUUUUGAAUUGCAAAUCAUGGUUGUUAUUUCUGUGGUGAAGUUAAUUUGAAUAACAAGACCUGGGUGAUAAUGUACCCAGCUUUCCUAAUUUUAGGCAUUCCAUAAUAUUAAUAAAUAGUAUAAAGCAGACAUAAUGGAAAGUUAAUCUUAAAAAGCAGUUAAGGUGUGAAAUUGUCUUUAAAAAACAAAGAUUUAGAAGGCUACAAUAAAAACAUUGUUUGAAUUUUUGCCUAGUUAUUUUAUUAAAUAAUUUAAAGAUUAGUGUAUUUAAGGUAAUUUCCACCUGACCAUCUGAUUAUAAAUGGUGAUUUAUAAUUUACAUGCUUGACAUAAUCUUUUUAAGAAGUUUCUAUUCUUCAAUGAUAAAUAUACCUCAUUUACCUUUUCCCUUACAGAUCGAGUGGCUCAAAACAGACAGUUUUCAUAUUGGCUGUUAGUGCUGAAUAUAGAUAAUUUUUAAAAUUUAAAUUCAAGGAUACUCUCAACUUUCUAAAGCAAAAACUGACUUUAUUUACGUAACAUUCAAGUAGCAUGUUUCUUACCGUUUGAUAAAGUUUUAUACAUUGUAUAAAGCUAGAUCCCUGUUUUAAAAGAUAGUUCUUUGUUUUUUGAAACUAUUCCAUUUAUUUGAAAUUGAAUAUUUCCUAAGCAAGCAAUUAUAUCCUUAAUGUGAUAGAGUCAUUUCAAUUUAGGUUAUUAAGCUAGAUAUUUUGCUUAACAUUAAUGGUUUGUGAGUUGUGAUGUUUUCUUAUAUAACUGUUAAUGAAUUUAUCACUACCUUAUUUUUGUGGAAGAUUUCUUAUAUUUCACAGUACUCUCAGGUUUAAUUCUUAAUUUAAAUGUAAAAAUUGUUUUAGGGACUUUAAAAGGUGACAAAAUCAGGAGUUCCCAUCGUGGUGCAGCAGAAACAAUCCAGCUAGGAACCAAGAGGUUUUGGGUUCGGAUCUCUGCUCUGUGGGUUAAGGAUCUGGCAUUACCAUGAGCUGUGGUGUAGGUUGCAGAUGUUCAGACUUGGCGUUGCUGUGGCUGCUGUGGCAUAGGCUGGCAGCUUGGAUUGGAUCCCUAGCCUGGGAACCUCCAUAUGCUGUGGGUGCAGCCCCCCCCCAAAAAAAAGGUGACAAAAUAAAAUAUUCUUAGAUGCACAAAUGGGCUAGUAAUGGUAGGACUUGAUUCAGGCCAUCUUGUCUUUUAUUAUGACAAGCAAUCAAAAUUGUUAUUUGCAUUAUAGCUAUAAUUUCAUACUAAAUGAGGAUCUUUGAUACUGCAAAAUAUUAAAAAUAGGUAGGCAUGUGAGCAAAAUUAUCAACUUUGAUAGUUUGCUUAAUGUGAACUUGGUUUACCUCCCCCUUAAAAGGAGGGCUGAGUGGGCCGAGUACUGCUUUGUCAGUGUUUAGAAAGGAAAUUGUAUGGCAGGUUAAAUGGGUGUCAGUAAUCUUUGUGGUGGUACAAGAUGUGACCCAGGUCAUCUUCUGUUUUUGGUGGACUGAGCACCUUGAGCCCUAAUACUUGUACUGGUAGGUAGCCUUUUUUUCCUUUUUUUCUUUUUUUUAAAUUAGAGUACAGUUGAUUUACAAGUAGGUAGCUUUUUUGUAAGCAGGUUCUCAGACUGAUGUGAUAGAUUUCCCUCAGACUUUGCUUUCACCCAACAUUCCUUAGGUCAUUUCCACCCUUCUCUUGGGGUUUAUAUCAAUUUAUUUUACUUGGCUGAUUUAGAAUUUGUCUUUGUUCACAAACUUUUCUUUAUAAAGUCAGAUUAAAUUUGGAAGUUUAAGAAUAAAUAAUGCUGUGUUUCUUGUAAAUUGCUUCAUUUAUUAACUUCUUGGGAGGAUAUUUUAGCAUGUUGCUCUUAAAAGUAAUUUUGAAGCAGAUCUUUGCAAUAUUUCUUGGUUGUGAUUAGUCAAAAUGAUUAAAGGGAUUUAGAUUUGGUAAGAUAAUCAGGAAGUUGGCUUUAAAGUUUGAAAAUUGGAAACCUUAGUCAUGGAAAAGCAUUUGGGUAAGCAUAGUUUUAGAUUAAGUCCUAAACUUUGGCUUUCUAAAAAUCCUUACAUUGCUACACUUAAAUAGUGAACUUUUAAACAAAGCUUUUUGGGUAGUUCUAGCUAUUGUGAUUAUUAUGAUCAACUUAGGAGCAGGAGAGACUGAAAAAAGUGUAUACCUAUGUUCUCAAAAAUGUAUUUGAGAUGUAGGAAACAUCUUUCACAUGAGGUAUUUCAGUCUAACUAGUGAACUAACUAGUGAAGACUAUGGAUGUAUCCUGAUCAAGCAAAUAUUUUUAGGAAGGGUUAGUAUUGAGUAGGUCAUUGUAAGUAGUAGUACAAAAAGCUUGACAUUUUAAGAUUUCGAUCCUAGAACAGUGUUGAUUAGAGUACAUGAUAAUGUGAAAUAAUAUGGUAAUAUUAAGGAGUGAGUAAUACGGCCUUGCCAGGUUGGUAAUGGAAGUUUUCCUUUAGAAGUCUUAAAAGUAGAUUAGAUGAAAGACUAGAAAAUAAAGUAAUUCUGUGCUGUUAAGGAGUGAUAUUGGCUUUUAUAUUAAUCAGCUACCUCUCAGCUGCCCAUUAGAUCUACCUAAAGAGCCCAGACUUUACUAGGGAGUUCUUGGAGCAUGAGAAAUGUUUUUACUCUACAGGUGAGCCUUCUGAACAGUCAAAUUUAAGAUCCUCUGGAUUAGAACUUUGUUGUUUUGUUUUGUUUUGUUUUGUUUUGGAUUAGAACUUUUGGCUACAUUUAUAAAUGCACAUAUGUCUUGGUCUUUUGGAGAGUGAUCCUGAUAAGGUGUUGAAAUUUCCAAAUCUAUUUUUGUCUUUUUUGUAUGUGUACAAUUAUAUUCUUUUUGUUUUCUGCAGCAAUAUGAAUCCUGAGGCUGAAUUGUCUAAGGGGCCUGUACAGCGAAAUAGAUGUAAGUUUUACUCAAUUUACAUGUUUAAUUUGUUUUUUACUUUUACAUGUGACUUUGGAAAUUCUGAGUAAUUGAGUCAGAGUCUCUAAAAAUGUAGAAGAAUUUAGUGAAGUUCCAAGCAGUACAGAUGUAAAUCAACAUAGAUGUAUGUGGCUUAUUAUUAAAAUUUUGGUUAUUAUUCCAACCUCUUUUCCUUUCUUUACUUAAAGAGAGGUAUAAAUGGAUGGAAGGAAACUCACAUUUGAACAUUCUUCUAAUACUGCACCCUAGCUGUUGGUAAGCUCCCCAUUUUUAUAAAUAAAGUUUUAUUGGAACACAGCUAAGCUCUUUCAUUUACGUAUUAGCUGUGUCUGCUUUCUGACUACAGCUGCAGAGAGUAGAUUUAGCUAAUGGCCACAAACCCUAACAUAUUUAGUUAUUUAGUAUUUUAACCUGUAAGGAAAUCUUGCCUAUCCUUUCCCUAGAUUCAUCCUUUUUGUCAACUUUAUGUAGAACUCAAAAGCACUUGGAUUCUCUUAAUAAUGGGGGUGUACCUUUUACUUUGUUAGUAUUUCAUUGUUAGAAUUCAAAUAACAUAAGUAAUCAUGAGCUUGGCUUAAACUCCAAAGCCCAACAAAGGUUCUUUCACACCAGCAUUAUGCUUUAAUAUUAGAAGAUUUGGGGAGUUCCCGGUGUGGCACAGUGGAAAUGAAUCAACUAGUAUAGUAUCCAUGAGGAUUUGGGUUCUAUCCCCGGCCUCACUCAGUGGAUUAAGGAUUUGGAGUUGCUGUGAGCUGUGGUGUAGGCCAGCAGCUGCAGCUCUGAUUCGACCCCUAGUCUAGGAACUUCCUUAUGACACAGGUAUGGCC
RNAcentral lists this long non-coding RNA (6292 nucleotides) under Sus scrofa (pig). Its description in RNAcentral is "lncRNA (ENSSSCG00030017572.1)". The record is from RNAcentral. Lineage: Eukaryota; Metazoa; Chordata; Mammalia; Artiodactyla; Suidae.